CGGCCUUUAAAAGCACCUUCCUGCGCACGACGGGGAGACACCGGGAGACCAGGCGCCCCGACCCAUCGGCUGGUCUUGAGGAGAAGCAGGACCGCCCCAGACUGUCGCCGCGGCCGGCAGGGCCGGGCGCUCCGCGGGGAAUCUGGGCCGCGGUGCCCUGUGCCCCACUCCGGCAGGACUGGGCUUCCCCGGCUCUUCGAGGGAAGACCGCACAGAGAAGACCCUGGGC
Molecule: long non-coding RNA, 229 nt
Filed under: Homo sapiens (human)
Lineage: Eukaryota; Metazoa; Chordata; Mammalia; Primates; Hominidae
Description: HSALNT0099622
Source: RNAcentral